UCAGGACCAACUUUUUUCAGAAUAACCAAUGAUACCCCCUGGAUAGCAAAUGAAACACAGACAAGUAUACUCAAGAUUAUCUAAACCACAAAGCUUAUACCUAUGAUUGACAGCAAGAAAAUAACACCAAAUGCAAACAAUUCUAUGAUUAACUUCAACUAGAACUCAGAAUACCAGAAGCAAAGUAGUCAACAUAAGGCCCCAAAUAAUUACAACUUGUAAUACGACAUUGUAGAACUUUUAAUUGUAGAUAUACCACUGGCAUCCGCUAACAUACAACCCCAAAAAAGAAAGAUGAAAAAUUUACAUUCCAGAAAGAUGGAGAGGAAUUCGAACCCCUAAAGACCAAUAGCCUAGUUGUUCAGAACUCGUUAAAAGAUGGUGGAAGAGCUUCAGCUGAAGACAGGAAGAGAAAGACAUCACUAGAUUCAAAAUAACUUUUCAUAUUCAAUGAUUUAAAGGAGCCAAGUAAUGGACAGAAAUAGAACAGCUAUAUAUCUCAUUCUCCAGUUACUUUAAGAAAGUCUCAGAAUGGUUUGUCAAGGCUGCUCCCUCUUCUUGCUUUCUUGUGCCAGGGAGGCAACCACAUUUUUUGUUAUGAUGUUUUAAGUUGCUCCAGAACUGAAAAUUUAAGUAUAAAAUUUACCCUAUCAAAACAAAGGUCUUGACUCUUGACAAAGUCAAGCCUCUUUGAACUUGCUUCUGCGUUUCUGUUGUAAGCUAAAAAUAAAUAUCAGACUUGGAUGAGACCCUGUAUAUUCUUUAUUUGUAUUUGCAUACUUGACUGCAAACUUGCUACUGAGAAGUUCAAGAAAGAUCCAGUAAGUCAUGCUCAUCAACUAAUAUACUUCUACAUAUUACGGAAUAUGAAGAUACCAUGCGAGAGCAAUAUAAAAUGUUACACUAGUAUCAAUUUAUUUUCUUUAAAUAGUAUUGAUCAUAAGUCAUAACCACACAAUAAACAGAAGAAUUAGAAAGACGAUGGAAAAGAUUUUAGUGAAACAAAUCCACUCACUCAACGCCAAAAAGAAGUAAACAGUUAACUUAACAGCAUCUCUAACUGCUUUUUUUAAAACAUGAAAGUAGGAGAUAAGAAGUGACAAGAGGGGUUGCUCUGAUGGUAAGCAACCCUCACUUCCAACCGAGAGGUUGUGAGUUNNNNNNNNNNNNNNNNNNNNNNNNNNNNNNNNNNNCCCCACUUCCAACCGAGAGGUUGUGAGUUCGAGUCUCCCCAAGAGCAAGGUGGUAAGUUCUUGGAGGGAAGGAUGCCGGGGGUCUAUUUGGAAACAGCUUGGGUAGGGGUAAGGUCUACGUACAUACUACCCUCCCCAGACCCCACUAAGUGGGAUUAUACUGGGUUGUUGUUGUUGUUGUUGAAAGUAGGAGAUAAGAAGAGCUAAGACAAGAAAAAUGUCAUCACAGCAAAAAAUUUCCCUACCAGUCAGAUGGCCCUCAGCAUAAUUUUGGUUGUGCUUUGACACAUGAUAGAAAUUUUCCCAGGGAUAUCUACUAAAGCAUAUACUCCAAAAACAAAG
This 1535-nucleotide long non-coding RNA is filed under the name Nicotiana benthamiana. RNAcentral's name for it is "long non-coding RNA (NBEN_LNC031289)". Lineage: Eukaryota; Viridiplantae; Streptophyta; Magnoliopsida; Solanales; Solanaceae. The record is from RNAcentral.